AAAAGUAACAAAUAAGGAAUCAGAAUCUCAGCACAAACAACCGGAAGCAAUUGGAACUCAGCAAAACAAAGGUUCGUAUAUCAAAGGAAAAAUCAUGCAAAAAAUCCUGAACUAAUUAAAGGUUUUCAAUUUCCUCCUAAACUUUAAUUUAGUGCAAUUAGAUCAUCGAUUCGUUCAAUUUGGACCAUGGCUAUAAAUUCUGUCUGGCUGUCGUGUAUAAGCAGGUCUCCUCUUCUACCAUACAAGCAGGUCUUAUGACAUCACGUGACAAUUCCGUUGCUGCAGCCAGACAGAAUUCUUAGCAGUCCGGAUUGAAAGAAUUUAGACAUUUGAUGACCUGAUUGCACUAAAUUAAAGUUCAGAAGAAAAUUGAAAACCUUCAAAUAGUUUAGGAUUUUUUGUGUGAUUAUUCCUAUAUCAAAUGGUAAGCAGUUAACAUAUAGAUGCGUAUAUAAAAUUAGAUGAACUACAUGUGUCAAAUGGAUCGAGAAAAAAAUGAAAAAAAAUGUAGAGGUAUUUUAUGCACAUCUGUUAUAGGCCUAUAUCCAAAGGAAAAGAACAAAGAGAAGACCACUAUGUUCCCACAUUGGGGAGAGAGAGAGAGAGAGAGAGAGUAUAUCACGUCCUUCUUACCUAAUUUACGAAANNNNNNNNNNNNNNNNNNNNGGGAGAGAGAGAGAGAGAGAGAGAGUAUAUCAGCCUUCUUCCAAUUUCGAAUAAAUAUUGAAGUUGCAUUUUGAUUCCUAAAGAUCCUAGAAUCCAAUGCCAAACACCAUAAAAUUUCCAAAAGGAAAUAGAGCACAUAAGAAACAAGGGAAAGAAACCUUGCUGCACAAAAGAAAAAGUUAUGCCUGCAUUAAUUUACUGUUCAUUAGCCUAAUAAAUCAACUAUAAUAUCCAUUAAGCAUGCUUAGUGUAAAACAAAUUGGAGACUCCAUUUAAUUUUUGCCUUUAAUAAUGACAUCUACAAACAAAUGAAAAAUAAUAGUUGACCCAGCACAAAUGAGCAUUAAAUAGAGGUAUGACAAGACCAUCCAUGGUCUAGUUAAUCUAAAACCUAGAAUGAUGUUUUAGAUAACAAGACUGCAUCAUUUCAACACCAUUGUCUGAGCAUAUGACAACCACCUUUACCUUGGCAAGGAACAGAAACAGGUGUAAUGAACUAAUGAUGCAAUUUGAGAAACACGAUAAACUCAGCUACUACUUUUCGAGUUCCAGAAGAGACAUGAAUGCUCUCACUAAAACACUAAAGGAAUAAAUGAAAAAUAAUAGAAAGGAAGAAAAUGCCAGUGAUGCCAUUGAACUCCUAAAUGUCCACCACAAUUGUGAACAACAAACAAGGAAUGUAUAUUGGAGAUUUUAAACAUUUAAGAAUAUGACAUUAUGACCUGUGGUGGUGAUUAUAAUAGAGGAGAAACCUUCAGUAAGUUAGAAACAAUCGAAGUCAUUACAAGAUAACUAAAAGCUUUCCUCUUACUUUCUUUUUCUUUUUUCCAUUUUUUGGUAAUUAUUCCUAUUUUUCCAUGAAUGGGCAAGACAAGCUAAAUUAAGUCAACACUAAAAGUGAUCCAAAGCAACAUUAAGUGAGAGCCCAAAAAGAGGCCACAAGGAUUAGAGUAUUUAACUCCAAUAGGCAAAAAAGCUAGAACAUUCAUUGAUGUAUCAGAUACUGGGUAGGAAUGGACAAUCCAAUGAGUUGUAUCUUGUCUAAACAUCCUACUUCUCAAGUACAGGCAUGUGAAUUUCGGGAGUCUUGUACUGAAGCUUAAGGGUAAGGGAUCUGCAGGAAUCAAAUGAGGUCAGUAUAGAUUCUGAAGCAAACACAUAGGCCAAUAAAUGUGGGAAUUGGAAAGAAAUUGAAAAAAAUUCAACAUGCUCAUCAAAGACCAGGAUUGGUCAGGAGUGGAUGUUGAAAAAGCGUAAUUGGUCAAAGAAAGAGAUGCUGUGUAUGAAUCACUCACAUAUUCUUCUGAAUUAUAUGCACCCGCGG
Molecule: long non-coding RNA, 1990 nt
Filed under: Phoenix dactylifera (date palm)
Lineage: Eukaryota; Viridiplantae; Streptophyta; Magnoliopsida; Arecales; Arecaceae
Description: long non-coding RNA (PDAC_LNC001873)
Source: RNAcentral